Molecule: ribosomal RNA, 440 nt
Filed under: uncultured bacterium
Lineage: Bacteria
Description: partial 16S ribosomal RNA
Rfam family: Bacterial small subunit ribosomal RNA
Source: RNAcentral
CCUACGGGAGGCAGCAGUGGGGAAUAUUGCACAAUGGGGGAAACCCUGAUCCAGCGACGCCGCGUGAGUGAAGAAGUAUUUCGGUAUGUAAAGCUCUGUCAGCAGGGAAGAAAAUGACGGUACCUGACCAAGAAGCCCCGGCUAACUACGUGCCAGCAGCCGCGGUAAUACGUAGGGGGCAAGCGGUAUCCGGAUUUACUGGGUGUAAAGGGUGCGUAGGCGGCUUGGCAAGUCAGUAGUGAAAUCCAUGGGCUUAACCCAUGAACUGCUAUUGAAACUGUCGAGCUUGAGUGAAGUAGAGGUAGGCGGAAUUCCCGGUGUAGCGGUGAAAUGCGUAGAGAUAGGGAGGAACACCAGUGGCGAAGGCGGCCUACUGGGCAUUAACUGACGCUGAGGCACGAAAGCGUGGGUAGCAAACAGGAUUAGAUACCCUAGUAGUC